CCGCGGUCAUACGGAGGAUCCAAGCGUUAUCCGGAAUUACUGGGCGUAAAGAGUUGUGUAGGUGGCAAAGUAAGUGAGUAAUGAAAUCAUGCGGCUCAACCGCAUUCCCAUUACUUAAACUGCUUAGCUAGAGAGUGGAAGAGGUUGCUAGAAUUCCUGGUGUAGGGGUGAAAUCCGUAGAUAUCAGGAGGAAUACCGAUGGCGUAGGCAGGCAACUGGUCCAUUUCUGACACUGAGACACGAAAGCAUG
This 250-nucleotide ribosomal RNA is filed under the name uncultured bacterium. RNAcentral describes it as "partial 16S ribosomal RNA". It matches the Rfam family "Bacterial small subunit ribosomal RNA", at positions 515 to 763 of the family's 1533-position model. The record is from RNAcentral.